This 72-nucleotide transfer RNA is filed under the name Bos taurus (domestic cattle). It matches the Rfam family "tRNA". Rfam says of the family: Transfer RNA (tRNA) molecules are approximately 80 nucleotides in length. Their secondary structure includes four short double-helical elements and three loops (D, anti-codon, and T loops). Further hydrogen bonds mediate the characteristic L-shaped molecular structure. tRNAs have two regions of fundamental functional importance: the anti-codon, which is responsible for specific mRNA codon recognition, and the 3' end, to which the tRNAs corresponding amino acid is attached (by aminoacyl-tRNA synthetases). tRNAs cope with the degeneracy of the genetic code in two manners: having more than one tRNA (with a specific anti-codon) for a particular amino acid; and 'wobble' base-pairing, i.e. permitting non-standard base-pairing at the 3rd anti-codon position. The record is from Rfam by way of RNAcentral. RNAcentral also lists the same sequence under 5 other names. Lineage: Eukaryota; Metazoa; Chordata; Mammalia; Artiodactyla; Bovidae.
UCUCUGACGGUCCAGUGGUAAGGAUUUGUGCCUUCACUGCAGAGGGCCCAGGUUCAAUCCCUGGUUGGGGAA